Molecule: long non-coding RNA, 604 nt
Filed under: Equus asinus (donkey)
Lineage: Eukaryota; Metazoa; Chordata; Mammalia; Perissodactyla; Equidae
Description: lncRNA (ENSEASG00005030182.1)
Source: RNAcentral
AGGCAGUCUGCUUCCCCUGGGGUGCUCUCAAGAUGGACCCUGCGCAACUCCCCUGCCAAACGGAUCAGUAGGAAGAUAACGUCCGAAAGGGUAGAGACCAGUGGAAGGCUGCUGCAAUAAUUCCAGGAGAGGGGAUGGUGGCUCAGACCAGGAUGGUGAUGGUGAAAGGGGCAAGAAGUGGUCAGAUUCUGCAUAUAUUUAAAGUGAGUGGCCAGAUGGGUAUCUUCAACUCCAUUUUACAGAAAAGGCAACUGCAACCCAAUCACUUGCCCAAAGUCAUACUCCAAGAAAGUGGACCUUGCCUCAAGUGCUCAGGAUCCCUUCUCCAGGGUCUGUGGACACGUCCCAUCUGUGGAGCAGAUGUGAAGGACCCCUGGCACUGACCAUGGCUCUGCUACUACUCUGGACUUUAUGGCUUGGUCUUCUUCAUAGCAUAGGGCUCCCACAGUUUUGGGAAAUCCUCCCUGCCUAUCUGAGCACAGGCCAGGCUGCCUGGCCCCAAUCACUCCGGCACAGAGCAACUUGGGCUAAAGUCAGCGCAUCUGAGGUCAGUCACCAGUGCCCUGCUGAGCUGUGUUGGAGCCUGAGGCAAAAGGAGAACUGU